CCUUAGCCCUGAUAGAAAUGAAAAUCCUUUUGAUAAAAAACGGUAAUUUUUUCUUAUAAAAAAAGAGCUACUCCCGACCAUUCGGGAGAAGCUCUUGUUUUAUUUAGAAAAAUACUGUUUAGUUCAAAAGAUUGAAAUGGAUAGCAGGAAUAGCU
RNAcentral lists this small RNA (155 nucleotides) under Flavobacterium glaciei. Its description in RNAcentral is "Flavo-1 RNA". It matches the Rfam family "Flavo-1 RNA". Lineage: Bacteria; Pseudomonadati; Bacteroidota; Flavobacteriia; Flavobacteriales; Flavobacteriaceae. The record is from RNAcentral.